GGACGAGGGAGAUUUCAUCAAUUAUAAUUUUCUGCCUAAGAAAAUUAUGGACCAUAUAUGACAAACAAACGUUUUUAUCACAUAAAACAAAAGAAAAAAACUGCAGUGAAUAUGAUUUUUCGGUUGUUUUCUUAUACAGAGAAUAUUAAAAUAAUGUUGGAAUGUGCAAGGGAAAUUGUUAUGGCGGUGGACAGAUCUAACAGCAGCAAGUUGUUCUUAUACAGAGAAUAUUAAAAUAAUGUUGGAAUGAGUAAGGGAAAUUGUUAUGGCGGUGGACAGAUCUAACAGCAGCAAGUUGUUCAUAAAUAGACGACGUCUAUUUUGUCGUCCAAAACUGAAGUUGACGUUGAGAAAAAAUAAUUGG
RNAcentral lists this long non-coding RNA (364 nucleotides) under Brassica napus (rape). Its description in RNAcentral is "long non-coding RNA (BNAP_LNC003331)". Lineage: Eukaryota; Viridiplantae; Streptophyta; Magnoliopsida; Brassicales; Brassicaceae. The record is from RNAcentral.